This 460-nucleotide ribosomal RNA is filed under the name uncultured bacterium. RNAcentral describes it as "partial 16S ribosomal RNA". It matches the Rfam family "Bacterial small subunit ribosomal RNA", at positions 338 to 795 of the family's 1533-position model. The record is from RNAcentral.
CCUACGGGUGGCAGCAGUGAGGAAUAUUGGUCAAUGGACGAGUGUCUGAACCAGCAAAGUAGCGUGAAGGAUGACGGCCCUAUGGGUUGUAAACUUCUUUUAUAUGGGAAUAAAAUGUUCCACGUGUGGGAUUUUGUAUGUACCAUAUGAAUACGGAUCGGCUAACUCCGUGCCAGUAGCCGCGGUAAUACGGAGGAUCCGAGCGUUAUCCGGAUUUAUUGGGUUUAAAGGGAGCGUAGGUGGAUUGUUAAGUCAGUUGUGAAAGUUGGCGGCUCAACCGUAAAAUUGCAGUUGAAACUGGCAGUCUUGAGUACAGUAGAGGUGGGCGGAAUUCGUGGUGUAGCGGUGAAAUGCUUAGAUAUCACGAAGAACUCCGAUUGCGAAGGCAGUUCACUGGACCGCAACUGACACUGAGGCUCGAAAGUGUGGGGAUCAAACAGGAUUAGAUACCCCAGUAGUC